RNAcentral lists this ribosomal RNA (2933 nucleotides) under Escherichia coli. Its description in RNAcentral is "bacterial LSU rRNA". It matches the Rfam family "Bacterial large subunit ribosomal RNA". Lineage: Bacteria; Pseudomonadati; Pseudomonadota; Gammaproteobacteria; Enterobacterales; Enterobacteriaceae. The record is from RNAcentral.
GGGUUGUGAGGUUAAGCGACUAAGCGUACACGGUGGAUGCCCUGGCAGUCAGAGGCGAUGAAGGACGUGCUAAUCUGCGAUAAGCGUCGGUAAGGUGAUAUGAACCGUUAUAACCGGCGAUUUCCGAAUGGGGAAACCCAGUGUGAUUCGUCACACUAUCAUUAACUGAAUCCAUAGGUUAAUGAGGCGAACCGGGGGAACUGAAACAUCUAAGUACCCCGAGGAAAAGAAAUCAACCGAGAUUCCCCCAGUAGCGGCGAGCGAACGGGGAGCAGCCCAGAGCCUGAAUCAGUGUGUGUGUUAGUGGAAGCGUCUGGAAAGGCGCGCGAUACAGGGUGACAGCCCCGUACACAAAAAUGCACAUACUGUGAGCUCGAUGAGUAGGGCGGGACACGUGGUAUCCUGUCUGAAUAUGGGGGGACCAUCCUCCAAGGCUAAAUACUCCUGACUGACCGAUAGUGAACCAGUACCGUGAGGGAAAGGCGAAAAGAACCCCGGCGAGGGGAGUGAAAAAGAACCUGAAACCGUGUACGUACAAGCAGUGGGAGCACAGAGCAAUCUGUGUGACUGCGUACCUUUUGUAUAAUGGGUCAGCGACUUAUAUUCUGUAGCAAGGUUAACCGAAUAGGGGAGCCGAAGGGAAACCGAGUCUUAACUGGGCGUUAAGUUGCAGGGUAUAGACCCGAAACCCGGUGAUCUAGCCAUGGGCAGGUUGAAGGUUGGGUAACACUAACUGGAGGACCGAACCGACUAAUGUUGAAAAAUUAGCGGAUGACUUGUGGCUGGGGGUGAAAGGCCAAUCAAACCGGGAGAUAGCUGGUUCUCCCCGAAAGCUAUUUAGGUAGCGCCUCGUGAAUUCAUCUCCGGGGGUAGAGCACUGUUUCGGCAAGGGGGUCAUCCCGACUUACCAACCCGAUGCAAACUGCGAAUACCGGAGAAUGUUAUCACGGGAGACACACGGCGGGUGCUAACGUCCGUCGUGAAGAGGGAAACAACCCAGACCGCCAGCUAAGGUCCCAAAGUCAUGGUUAAGUGGGAAACGAUGUGGGAAGGCCCAGACAGCCAGGAUGUUGGCUUAGAAGCAGCCAUCAUUUAAAGAAAGCGUAAUAGCUCACUGGUCGAGUCGGCCUGCGCGGAAGAUGUAACGGGGCUAAACCAUGCACCGAAGCUGCGGCAGCGACGCUUAUGCGUUGUUGGGUAGGGGAGCGUUCUGUAAGCCUGUGAAGGUGUACUGUGAGGUAUGCUGGAGGUAUCAGAAGUGCGAAUGCUGACAUAAGUAACGAUAAAGCGGGUGAAAAGCCCGCUCGCCGGAAGACCAAGGGUUCCUGUCCAACGUUAAUCGGGGCAGGGUGAGUCGACCCCUAAGGCGAGGCCGAAAGGCGUAGUCGAUGGGAAACAGGUUAAUAUUCCUGUACUUGGUGUUACUGCGAAGGGGGGACGGAGAAGGCUAUGUUGGCCGGGCGACGGUUGUCCCGGUUUAAGCGUGUAGGCUGGUUUUCCAGGCAAAUCCGGAAAAUCAAGGCUGAGGCGUGAUGACGAGGCACUACGGUGCUGAAGCAACAAAUGCCCUGCUUCCAGGAAAAGCCUCUAAGCAUCAGGUAACAUCAAAUCGUACCCCAAACCGACACAGGUGGUCAGGUAGAGAAUACCAAGGCGCUUGAGAGAACUCGGGUGAAGGAACUAGGCAAAAUGGUGCCGUAACUUCGGGAGAAGGCACGCUGAUAUGUAGGUGAAGUCCCUCGCGGAUGGAGCUGAAAUCAGUCGAAGAUACCAGCUGGCUGCAACUGUUUAUUAAAAACACAGCACUGUGCAAACACGAAAGUGGACGUAUACGGUGUGACGCCUGCCCGGUGCCGGAAGGUUAAUUGAUGGGGUCAGCGCAAGCGAAGCUCUUGAUCGAAGCCCCGGUAAACGGCGGCCGUAACUAUAACGGUCCUAAGGUAGCGAAAUUCCUUGUCGGGUAAGUUCCGACCUGCACGAAUGGCGUAAUGAUGGCCAGGCUGUCUCCACCCGAGACUCAGUGAAAUUGAACUCGCUGUGAAGAUGCAGUGUACCCGCGGCAAGACGGAAAGACCCCGUGAACCUUUACUAUAGCUUGACACUGAACAUUGAGCCUUGAUGUGUAGGAUAGGUGGGAGGCUUAGAAGUGUGGACGCCAGUCUGCAUGGAGCCGACCUUGAAAUACCACCCUUUAAUGUUUGAUGUUCUAACGUUGACCCGUAAUCCGGGUUGCGGACAGUGUCUGGUGGGUAGUUUGACUGGGGCGGUCUCCUCCUAAAGAGUAACGGAGGAGCACGAAGGUUGGCUAAUCCUGGUCGGACAUCAGGAGGUUAGUGCAAUGGCAUAAGCCAGCUUGACUGCGAGCGUGACGGCGCGAGCAGGUGCGAAAGCAGGUCAUAGUGAUCCGGUGGUUCUGAAUGGAAGGGCCAUCGCUCAACGGAUAAAAGGUACUCCGGGGAUAACAGGCUGAUACCGCCCAAGAGUUCAUAUCGACGGCGGUGUUUGGCACCUCGAUGUCGGCUCAUCACAUCCUGGGGCUGAAGUAGGUCCCAAGGGUAUGGCUGUUCGCCAUUUAAAGUGGUACGCGAGCUGGGUUUAGAACGUCGUGAGACAGUUCGGUCCCUAUCUGCCGUGGGCGCUGGAGAACUGAGGGGGGCUGCUCCUAGUACGAGAGGACCGGAGUGGACGCAUCACUGGUGUUCGGGUUGUCAUGCCAAUGGCACUGCCCGGUAGCUAAAUGCGGAAGAGAUAAGUGCUGAAAGCAUCUAAGCACGAAACUUGCCCCGAGAUGAGUUCUCCCUGACUCCUUGAGAGUCCUGAAGGAACGUUGAAGACGACGACGUUGAUAGGCCGGGUGUGUAAGCGCAGCGAUGCGUUGAGCUAACCGGUACUAAUGAACCGUGAGGCUUAACCUUACAACGCCGAAGGUGUUU